CCACUGGGAGACUUAUGUCAAAACUGAGGAGUCAAAAUGCAGUCUAAAAGAAGUUUAUCCUCUCAUCUCCACCCUUGUUCCACCCUGCUGCCCUCAAAGCUCAGGAUGCACUGAAGUGCCUCAAGAAUUCUCCUCUGUCUCCAGUUCUCACUCUGGCCACCAGACUGCUUGGGGAAGGAAUCAUGACUCAGGAGAGCAGUUCUCCUCAACAGCUCUGCAGAGCACCCAGAGGAAAUUGAGAUGAAAAAAAAAAUCUGCCUUUUUCGAAAUCAAGUCCCUUUCUAAAGGAAACGCAGAAGGUCAGCAGCAGAGCCUAAAAUACAAACUCCUAACUCCAAACCUCAGCUUUCCACAAAUCUUACGACUGUCAGGCCACCAGCCCCUCCUUCCUCCCUGGAAACGGUAAUGGUAAGUGAUCCCUUUUCAGGAUCUCUCUAUAGACAAUUACAUUUUAAGUGAUUCAGAGUAGUCACUU
RNAcentral lists this long non-coding RNA (475 nucleotides) under Bos indicus x Bos taurus (hybrid cattle). Its description in RNAcentral is "lncRNA (ENSBIXG00005006885.1)". Lineage: Eukaryota; Metazoa; Chordata; Mammalia; Artiodactyla; Bovidae. The record is from RNAcentral.